This 461-nucleotide ribosomal RNA is filed under the name uncultured bacterium. Its description in RNAcentral is "partial 16S ribosomal RNA". It matches the Rfam family "Bacterial small subunit ribosomal RNA", at positions 338 to 795 of the family's 1533-position model. The record is from RNAcentral.
CCUACGGUGGGCAGCAGUGAGGCAUAUUGGUCAAUGGGCGCAAGCCUGAACCAGCCAAGUCGCGUGAGGGAUGACGGUCCUAUGGAUUGUAAACCUCUUUUGUCGGGGAGCAAGGCCCGCCACGUGUGGCGGGAAGGAGAGUACCCGACGAAAAAGCAUCGGCUAACUCCGUGCCAGCAGCCGCGCUAAUACGGAAGGUCCGGGCGUUAGCCGGAUUGACUGGGUGUAAAGGGAGCGUAGACGGUUAUGUAAGUCUGGAGUGAAAGCCCGGGGCCCAACCCCGGGACUGCUUUGGAAACUGUGUAACGGGAGUACAGGAGGGGCAGGCGGAAUUCCUGGUGUAGCGGUGAAAUGCGGAGAUAUCAGGAGGAACACCGGCGGCGAAGGCGGCCUGCUGGACUGAAACUGACGUUGAGGCUCGAAAGCGUGGGGAGCAAACAGGAUUAGAUACCCUUGUAGUC